This 457-nucleotide ribosomal RNA is filed under the name uncultured bacterium. RNAcentral's name for it is "partial 16S ribosomal RNA". It matches the Rfam family "Bacterial small subunit ribosomal RNA", at positions 338 to 795 of the family's 1533-position model. The record is from RNAcentral.
CCUACGGGGUGCUGCAGUGGGGAAUAUUGCACAAUGGGGGAAACCCUGAUGCAGCGACGCCGCGUGAGUGAAGAAGUAUUUCGGUAUGUAAAGCUCUAUCAGCAGGGAAGAAACCCACCCUCCGGGGUGGCUGACGGUACCUGACUAAGAAGCCCCGGCUAACUACGUGCCAGCAGCCGCGGUAAUACGUAGGGGGCAAGCGUUAUCCGGAUUUACUGGGUGUAAAGGGAGCGUAGGUGGCAAGGCAAGUCAGAUGUGAAAACCCGGGGCCCAACCCCGGGAGUGCAUUUGAAACUGUCUGGAUAGAGUGCAGGAGAGGUAAGUGGAAGUCCUAGUGUAGCGGUGAAAUGCAUAGAUAUUAGGAGGAACACCAGUGGCGAAGGCGGCUUACUGGACUGUAACUGACACUGAGGCUCGAAAGCGUGGGGAGCAAACAGGAUUAGAUACCCGGGUAGUC